UCCAUUCCCAGGACCUAUUAGAGCGAUUGCCCAGACGCCGGUGACUCAGUGUUCGCGGGAGCGCCGCAGCCACACCAGCCAACCCGGAUCCUAGGUCUGACAGCGCCGGCCCGGGUCCCCGCCUGCCAGGAGUAAGCCGACAGGCGGCCGGCCCCGCGUGUCCGACCCAGAGCCACCUCUGUCCUUCGACCCGAGCUCCGCGCCCUUCCUGCGAUCCCUGCCCCGCGGGCAGCGCUGCCAUCCUGCCGGCCAUGGAGACUCCGUCCCAGCGGCGCGCCACCCGCAGCGGGGCGCAGACCAGCUCCACCCCGCUGUCGCCGACCCGCAUCACCCGGCUGCAGGAGAAGGAGGACCUGCAGGAGCUCAACGACCGCUUGGCGGUCUACAUCGACCGUGUGCGCUCUCUGGAGACGGAGAACGCGGGUCUGCGCCUUCGCAUCACCGAGUCCGAGGAGGUGGUCAGCCGCGAGGUGUCCGGCAUCAAGGCCGCCUACGAGGCCGAGCUCAGCGAUGCCCGCAAGACCCUCGACUCGGUGGCCAAGGAGCGCGCCCGCCUGCAGCUGGAGCUGAGCAAAGUGCGCGAGGAGUUUAAGGAGCUCAAAGCGCGCAAUACCAAGAAGGAGGGUGACCUGAUGGCCGCCCAGGCCCGGCUCAAGGACCUGGAGGCUCUGCUCAACUCUAAGGAGGCCGCACUGAGCACGGCCCUCAGCGAGAAGCGCACGCUGGAGGGCGAGCUGCAUGACCUGCGGGGCCAAGUGGCCAAGCUCGAGGCAGCCCUGGGGGAGGCCAAGAAGCAGCUUCAGGACGAAAUGCUGCGGCGGGUCGAUGCCGAGAACAGGCUGCAGACCCUGAAGGAGGAGCUAGACUUCCAGAAGAACAUCUACAGCGAGGAGCUGCGUGAGACCAAGCGCCGCCACGAGACCCGGCUGGUGGAGAUUGACAACGGCAAGCAGCGGGAGUUUGAGAGCCGGCUGGCCGACGCCCUGCAGGAGCUGCGGGCCCAGCACGAGGACCAGGUGGAUCAGUACAAGAAGGAGCUGGAGAAGACCUACUCUGCCAAGCUGGACAACGCCAGGCAGUCGGCCGAGAGGAACAGCAACCUGGUGGGGGCCGCCCACGAGGAGCUGCAGCAGUCCCGCAUCCGCAUAGACAGCCUGUCCGCCCAGCUCAGCCAGCUGCAGAAGCAGCUGGCAGCCAAGGAGGCGAAGCUGCGGGACCUGGAGGACUCGCUGGCCCGCGAGCGUGACACCAGCCGGCGGCUGCUGGCGGAGAAGGAGCGGGAGAUGGCGGAGAUGCGGGCGCGGAUGCAGCAGCAGCUGGACGAGUACCAGGAGCUGCUGGACAUCAAGCUGGCGCUGGACAUGGAGAUCCACGCCUACCGCAAGCUGCUGGAGGGCGAGGAGGAGAGGCUCCGCCUGUCCCCCAGCCCCACCUCGCAGCGCAGCCGAGGCCGUGCCUCCUCCCACUCGUCCCAGACGCAGAGUGGGGGCAGCGCCACCAAGAAGCGGAAGCUGGAGGCCGCCGAGAGCCGUAGCAGCUUCUCCCAGCACGCGCGCACCAGCGGGCGCGUGGCGGUGGAGGAGGUGGACGAGGACGGCAAGUUCGUGCGGCUGCGCAACAAAUCCAGCGAGGACCAGACCAUGGGCAACUGGCAGAUCAAGCGCCAGAACGGAGAUGACCCCUUGCUGACCUACCGCUUCCCACCGAAGUUCACCCUGAAGGCCGGGCAGGUGGUGACGAUCUGGGCUGCAGGAGCUGGGGCCACCCACAGCCCCCCGACCGACCUGGUGUGGAAGGCACAGAACACCUGGGGCUGUGGCAACAGCCUGCGCACGGCCCUCAUCAACUCCACCGGGGAGGAGGUGGCCAUGCGCAAGCUGGUGCGCUCGGUGACUGUGGUCGAGGAUGACGAAGACGAGGAUGGAGAUGACAUGAUCCAUCACCACCACGGCUCCCACUCGACCCCGCCGAGUACAACCUGCGCUCCCGCACCGUGCUGUGCGGGACCUGCGGGCAGCCUGCCGAAAAGGCGUCCGCAAGCGGCGCGGGAGCCCAGGUGGGCGGAUCCGUCUCCUCUGCCUCCUCCGCGUCCAGCGUCACGGUCACUCGCAGCUACCGCAGUGUGGGGGGCAGUGGGGGUGGCAGCUUCGGGGACAACCUGGUCACCCGCUCCUACCUCCUGGGCAACUCCAGACCCCGAACCCAGAGCCCCCAGAACUGCAGCAUCAUGUAGUCCGGGACCUGCCGGGCCGGGGUGGGCCGGAGGCCUCCUGCUUCCUCCGCGGUCAUGCCCACCGCCUCCCUGCACCUCGCGGGAGGGGCUUCAAGCCAAAGAAAAUACCCCUUUGUUUUUUCUUCUAUGUUUUGUUUUUUUUUCUAAGAGAAGUUAUUUUCUACAGUGGUUUUAUACUGAAGGAAAAACACAAGCAAAAAAAAAAAAAAUAGCAUCUAUCUCCAUUCGCUUUUCACUGUUCCUGCUUCCAAGAAGCUCCGCAUCUGCCUUAAACCGAAGUCGGCUCCCUCCAGGAGCCACGGGGCAGGGGGGCCUUUGUGGAGCCGAGUCUCUGCUUUUCUGCCCUGCCCGCUGCCCCCACCCCAAACCCCACAAACAUGGUGCCUGAGGCAGGUGUGCAGCCUUCCCGGCCAGCCUCCAAGGGAGCAGGGGCGAGCUGGGCCCCUGGGCUGGCCGCCGUCAGCCCGGCAUGCCUGGCCGCCUGGUCGAGGCUCCUCUGCCUGCCCACCCCCAGCCCCACCCCUGCCCCUAGCCCCGGGGUGACUUGAUUUCCCCCGGGUACCAGCUGUGCUUGCUUUUCCUAUACUUCACGUAGACAAGAGAUGGGAAGGAGAUGGGGGCUGACAGAAGGGGGGAGAAACGUUAGUCUGAGCCAGCUUUCACCCGGCUUCAGAGCCGGGCUGGGGCUGCCCAGUCACCGAAGGUGAGGUCAAGUGCAUGCAGGGGAGGAGCGAGAGGGAGGCUCACUAAAAGGGUGAGAGCCUGCAAGGCCCACUCCAUGGGAGGAUGGCGAGAGGGGGUGGAGGGUGUGUGGCAGUGGUUUCUGGCAAACACUAAGGAUCCCCUUGCUACCCACUUCCCAUCUGCACCCCUCUCUCCUCCCCAGAUCAAUACACUAGUUGUUUUUA
Molecule: RNA transcript, 3141 nt
Organism: Pteropus alecto (black flying fox)
Lineage: Eukaryota; Metazoa; Chordata; Mammalia; Chiroptera; Pteropodidae
Gene: LMNA
Gene name: lamin A/C
Exons: 13
Source: RefSeq, a predicted model, not a curated record